This is a long non-coding RNA of Eupeodes corollae, 391 nucleotides long. RefSeq lists it as uncharacterized. Lineage: Eukaryota; Metazoa; Arthropoda; Insecta; Diptera; Syrphidae. The record is from RefSeq and is a predicted model, not a curated record. The transcript has 3 exons.
GCAGUAUAAACGGAGCUUAACAAUACUUUCAAUGUAAGAAGUUUUUUUGCCGAACUGAACGAACAAAUGAAGUGCCGCCGAAUUUCAACGAGCAACAACCAAUAGAAUACAAAUCAUUUACAAAAAGAAGCCCACACGAAAAAGUGGUUUAUAGUUAAAGUGAACAUUAAAAAAAGUGAAGUGAAGAUAUUAAAAAAAUAUUAGUGCAUCAGCUAACAAUUAUAUUAGUUAAUCAGAUUGUAUUUAUUAGAAACUGGCGACUGUUGAUGGUUUAUAUAUCCAUACAAACAUUACUGGGAAAACAUUGAAGAAGAAAAUUAUCUUAAAAUAUUGUCAAGAUGCAGCUUUACUCUGGGCCCUACAUGGGUAUUUUGUGCCUUUCCAAAAAGUU